GAUAACUGGCUUGUGCUGGCCGCAUACACAGUAUUUUGAGCCUUCUGUUGGUUCUUCCUAACAUUGUGAGUAAAAUUUACAACUGUUGGAUUACUCACCCACUAUCAGGGAAUGCAAGCUAGGUUCAGACUACCAGGGGACAGGUU
RNAcentral lists this non-coding RNA (146 nucleotides) under Pelodiscus sinensis (Chinese soft-shelled turtle). Its description in RNAcentral is "Eukaryotic large subunit ribosomal RNA". It matches the Rfam family "Eukaryotic large subunit ribosomal RNA", at positions 2825 to 2984 of the family's 3401-position model. The record is from Rfam by way of RNAcentral. Lineage: Eukaryota; Metazoa; Chordata; Testudines; Trionychidae.